UGGGGAAUAUUGGACAAUGGGCGAAAGCCUGAUCCAGCCACGCCGCGUGAGUGAUGAAGGCCUUCGGGUCGUAAAGCUCUGUGGGGAGGGACGAACGUCCGGGUGUAGAGCCCGGGGUGACGGUACCUCCUUAGCAAGCACCGGCUAACUUCGUGCCAGCAGCCGCGGUAAUACGAAGGGUGCAAACGUUGCUCGGAAUCAUUGGGCGUAAAGCGCACGUAGGCGGCCUCGCAAGUCGGAUGUGAAAUCCCUCGGCUCAACCGAGGACGUGCAUCCGAAACUGCGGGGCUUGAGUACUGAAGAGGAUCGCGGAAUUCCCGGUGUAGAGGUGAAAUUCGUAGAUAUCGGGAGGAACACCAGUGGCGAAGGCGGCGAUCUGGGCAGAUACUGACGCUGAGGUGCGAAAGCGUGGGGAGCAAACAGG
This 424-nucleotide ribosomal RNA is filed under the name uncultured bacterium. RNAcentral's name for it is "bacterial SSU rRNA". It matches the Rfam family "Bacterial small subunit ribosomal RNA", at positions 355 to 776 of the family's 1533-position model. The record is from RNAcentral.